RNAcentral lists this ribosomal RNA (168 nucleotides) under Triticum aestivum (bread wheat). RNAcentral's name for it is "partial small subunit ribosomal RNA". Lineage: Eukaryota; Viridiplantae; Streptophyta; Magnoliopsida; Poales; Poaceae. The record is from RNAcentral.
AUGGCGGGCACGGCCAACUGCAUCGACAUCAUCCUCGCCAUCAUCCUCCCGCCCCUCGGCGUCUUCCUCAAGUUCGGAUGCGGGCACGAGUUCUGGAUCUGCCUCUUGCUGACCUUCCUCGGGUACAUCCCGGGUAUCAUCUACGCCAUCUACGCCAUCACCAAGUAA